Molecule: ribosomal RNA, 1384 nt
Filed under: Cryobacterium sp.
Lineage: Bacteria; Bacillati; Actinomycetota; Actinomycetes; Micrococcales; Microbacteriaceae
Description: bacterial SSU rRNA
Rfam family: Bacterial small subunit ribosomal RNA
Source: RNAcentral
UGCAGUCGAACGGUGAUGAGGAGCUUGCUUCUCUGAUCAGUGGCGAACGGGUGAGUAACACGUGAGCAAUCUGCCCUUGACUCUGGGAUAAGCGUUGGAAACGACGUCUAAUACCGGAUACGACUCUUGGAGGCAUCUCUGGGGGUGGAAAGAAUUUUGGUCAAGGAUGAGCUCGCGGCCUAUCAGCUUGUUGGUGAGGUAAUGGCUCACCAAGGCGACGACGGGUAGCCGGCCUGAGAGGGUGACCGGCCACACUGGGACUGAGACACGGCCCAGACUCCUACGGGAGGCAGCAGUGGGGAAUAUUGCACAAUGGGCGAAAGCCUGAUGCAGCAACGCCGCGUGAGGGACGACGGCCUUUCGGGUUGUAAACCUCUUUUAGUAGGGAAGAAGCGAAAGUGACGGUACCUGCAGAAAAAGCACCGGCUAACUACGUGCCAGCAGCCGCGGUAAUACGUAGGGUGCAAGCGUUGUCCGGAAUUAUUGGGCGUAAAGAGCUCGUAGGCGGUUUGUCGCGUCUGCUGUGAAAACCCGAGGCUCAACCUCGGGCCUGCAGUGGGUACGGGCAGACUAGAGUGCGGUAGGGGAGAUUGGAAUUCCUGGUGUAGCGGUGGAAUGCGCAGAUAUCAGGAGGAACACCAAUGGCGAAGGCAGAUCUCUGGGCCGUAACUGACGCUGAGGAGCGAAAGCAUGGGGAGCGAACAGGAUUAGAUACCCUGGUAGUCCAUGCCGUAAACGUUGGGAACUAGAUGUGGGGACCAUUCCACGGUCUCCGUGUCGCAGCUAACGCAUUAAGUUCCCCGCCUGGGGAGUACGGCCGCAAGGCUAAAACUCAAAGGAAUUGACGGGGGCCCGCACAAGCGGCGGAGCAUGCGGAUUAAUUCGAUGCAACGCGAAGAACCUUACCAAGGCUUGACAUAUAGAGGAAACGGCUGGAAACAGUCGCCCCGCAAGGUCUCUAUACAGGUGGUGCAUGGUUGUCGUCAGCUCGUGUCGUGAGAUGUUGGGUUAAGUCCCGCAACGAGCGCAACCCUCGUCCUAUGUUGCCAGCACGUAAUGGUGGGAACUCAUGGGAUACUGCCGGGGUCAACUCGGAGGAAGGUGGGGAUGACGUCAAAUCAUCAUGCCCCUUAUGUCUUGGGCUUCACGCAUGCUACAAUGGCCGGUACAAAGGGCUGCAAUACCGUAAGGUGGAGCGAAUCCCAAAAAGCCGGUCUCAGUUCGGAUUGAGGUCUGCAACUCGACCUCAUGAAGUCGGAGUCGCUAGUAAUCGCAGAUCAGCAACGCUGCGGUGAAUACGUUCCCGGGCCUUGUACACACCGCCCGUCAAGUCAUGAAAGUCGGUAACACCCGAAGCCAGUGGCCUAACCCGUAAGGGGAGGAG